GGACUACUGGGGUAUCUAAUCCUGUUUGCUCCCCACGCUUUCGCGCCUCAGCGUCAGUAACGGGCCAGUGAGUCGCCUUCGCCACUGGUGUUCUUCCGAAUAUCUACGAAUUUCACCUCUACACUCGGAGUUCCACUCACCUCUCCCGUACUCAAGAUGUCCAGUAUCAAAGGCAAUUCCAAGGUUGAGCCCUGGGCUUUCACCUCUGACUUAAACAUCCGCCUACGCGCCCUUUACGCCCAGUAAUUCCGAGCAACGCUAGCCCCCUUCGUAUUACCGCGGCUGCUGGCAC
This 292-nucleotide ribosomal RNA is filed under the name uncultured bacterium. RNAcentral describes it as "partial 16S ribosomal RNA". The record is from RNAcentral.